GCCUGGAUGGCUCAGUAGAUUGGGCGUCUGACUCUGGCUCAGGUCAUGAUCUCAUGGUUCGUGGGUUCGAGCCCCGCAUCAGGCU
This 85-nucleotide transfer RNA is filed under the name Felis catus (domestic cat). It matches the Rfam family "tRNA". From Rfam's summary of the family: Transfer RNA (tRNA) molecules are approximately 80 nucleotides in length. Their secondary structure includes four short double-helical elements and three loops (D, anti-codon, and T loops). Lineage: Eukaryota; Metazoa; Chordata; Mammalia; Carnivora; Felidae. The record is from Rfam by way of RNAcentral.